UUUUAAUGUCCAACAUUUAUAAUAUGAGGGCUAGUGCUUUCUUGCCAAGUUUAUAAGUUUUCGACUGGCUUGUAAGGUCAAUAGGGAUACUCCUUUUUGUCUAAUUUGGUUUCUGGGAAGACUUCAUUCAGGUCCUCAAUGGUCAUCUGAUCAAAUGGAAUUAUGUUCUUCAUCUUCUCCAGCAUUUUUUCAUAUUCUUCAAUCCUGGCCUUUGAGAGAGACAAAAACUCAGCACAGCGUUUCACAUCUUUUUUUUUCCCUCAGCAUCCACCUGGACAAUGUAUUUAUCCUCUGGCACAGAAACUUUCAACCUUCAAGGCGUUAAACUUCUUAUCAAAGUCAUCUACCAGGCCAGCCUUUGCCACAUUGGCCUUGUAGUAAGCCCAGUCGAUAGCAGGUGGUUUCUCAGGAAGAGUAGCCAACCUGGAGGGACACUGGAGCAAGAUGAUUGGACAAUAAGACUGCAAAUUCUACAUACUGCAAAUGCAAAUGGGUCUUCCUUUCAUGUCCAGCCACUCCAUAGCCAACAAAAUCCUAUUCAUGUGUCUACCUUGCAGUCAAACAUGCACAGGAAACAAAUAUGA
Molecule: long non-coding RNA, 584 nt
Filed under: Vulpes vulpes (red fox)
Lineage: Eukaryota; Metazoa; Chordata; Mammalia; Carnivora; Canidae
Description: lncRNA (ENSVVUG00000022483.1)
Source: RNAcentral